Molecule: ribosomal RNA, 820 nt
Filed under: uncultured Pseudomonadota bacterium
Lineage: Bacteria; Pseudomonadati; Pseudomonadota
Description: bacterial SSU rRNA
Rfam family: Bacterial small subunit ribosomal RNA
Source: RNAcentral
UCGCACGAGAAAGGGUAGCAAUACCUGAGUACAGUGGCGCACGGGUGAGUAACACGUGAAUCAUCUACCUUCGAGUGGGGAAUAACUGGGAGAAAUCUCAGCUAAUACCGCAUAACACCUACGGGUCAAAGCAGCAAUGCGCUUGAAGAGGAGUUCGCGGCAGAUUAGUUAGUUGGCGGGGUAAUGGCCCACCAAGACGAUGAUCUGUAUCCGGCCUGAGAGGGCGCACGGACACACUGGAACUGAAACACGGUCCAGACUCCCACGGGAGGCAGCAGUGGGGAAUUUUGCGCAAUGGGGGAAACCCUGACGCAGCAACGCCGCGUGGAGGAUGAAAUCCCUUGGGAUGUAAACUCCUUUCGAUCGGGACGAUUAUGACGGUACCGGAAGAAGAAGCCCCGGCUAACUUCGUGCCAGCAGCCGCGGUAAUACGAGGGGGGCAAGCGUUGUUCGGAAUUAUUGGGCGUAAAGGGCGCGUAGGCGGUUUGACAAGUCUGAUGUGAAAUCUAUGGGCUCAACCCAUAGCCUGCAUUAGAAACUGUCGGGCUUGAGUAUGGGAGAGGUGAGUGGAAUUUCCGGUGUAGCGGUGAAAUGCGUAGAUAUCGGAAGGAACACCUGUGGCGAAAGCGGCUCACUGGACCAUAACUGACGCUGAGGCGCGAAAGCUAGGGGAGCAAACAGGAUUAGAUACCCUGGUAGUCCUAGCCCUAAACGAUGAUUGCUUGGUGUGACAGGUACCCAAUCCUGUCGUGCCGAAGCUAACGCGAUAAGCAAUCCGCCUGGGGAGUACGGUCGCAAGGCUGAAACUCAAAGGAAUAGA